CCUUCCGCGAGAGGCGCUCCGGGAGGAUCAAGGGUGGGGGAACGCUAUUGCCUCAAAUUUAGCCACCAAGGAGGCCAUCGCGUCCUCUGACGCCCCUUUGGGUCCUGUAGUCCCACAGCUCCCGCUCAAACUGACAGGGCUAUACGUGUGAGGAAAAGGACAAAAGCCAGAUGCACUGUUUUCAAUUAACUAGAACCUUGCCCGUACUCCCCAGCGAAAGCCUUCCCUGAUCCUUCCACGUGCAAACCCUCAACACACGAAAAAUUUCAACGCGCACGCGCAGAUCGCCUUCCGCAAGAAUUCAAGCGUAUUUCCUUCCCCCGUUGGUCCAACCUCAUAACUUCCGAUCUCUGUUCCGCGCCCUUCUACGGUAUCCAAGGACGCAUAUACUGAGCCAGCCAUUUUAAGCCUUCGCGGUUCGCGUGGUGCGGCUGGUGCGCGGAGGUAGUGCUAACACGCGGUCGGCACGAAAUUGGACGCGAACCUCUCCGCGAAGAUGGA
Chinchilla lanigera (long-tailed chinchilla) is the source of this 501-nucleotide long non-coding RNA. RefSeq lists it as uncharacterized. NCBI's taxonomy places the organism in Eukaryota, Metazoa, Chordata, Mammalia, Rodentia, Chinchillidae. The transcript has 3 exons. The record is from RefSeq and is a predicted model, not a curated record.